This 253-nucleotide ribosomal RNA is filed under the name uncultured bacterium. RNAcentral describes it as "partial 16S ribosomal RNA". It matches the Rfam family "Bacterial small subunit ribosomal RNA", at positions 524 to 776 of the family's 1533-position model. The record is from RNAcentral.
UACGUAGGGACCAAGCGUUGUUCGGAUUUACUGGGCGUAAAGGGCGCGUAGGCGGCUUAACAAGUCACUUGUGAAAUCUCCGGGCUUAACUCGGAAACUGCCAUUGAUACUAUCUGUCUUGAAUACCGUGGAGGUCAGCGGAAUAUGUCAUGUAGCGGUGAAAUGCUUAGAUAUGACAUAGAACACCAAUUGCGAAGGCAGCUGGCUACACGAAUAUUGACACUGAUGCACGAAAGCGUGGGGAUCAAACAGG